This is a long non-coding RNA of Sander lucioperca (pikeperch), 236 nucleotides long. RefSeq lists it as uncharacterized. The record is from RefSeq and is a predicted model, not a curated record. NCBI's taxonomy places the organism in Eukaryota, Metazoa, Chordata, Actinopteri, Perciformes, Percidae. The transcript has 3 exons.
AACUUGAUGGGGUAUAUAACCAGGCCCUGUGGAUAAGAUGGCUGUGCUUUCUGCCAAACCAAAGUGUAGAGCAACAACAGAUGGUGUAAGAAGCACACUCAACAAAUGCCUCAGUGGGGAUUUGCCUGAUCUUUCCGUCCUUCAGGUGACAGAGGUGUAUAAAGAUUUCUCUACAGCGGAGGUCACUGAUGAUCUGCAGCAUGGGCAUCAGCUGUGAAAUUCCCCUGGUUGACUCU